Cebus imitator (Panamanian white-faced capuchin) is the source of this 1379-nucleotide long non-coding RNA. RefSeq lists it as uncharacterized. The record is from RefSeq and is a predicted model, not a curated record. Lineage: Eukaryota; Metazoa; Chordata; Mammalia; Primates; Cebidae. The transcript is spliced from 3 exons.
CCAAAUACAUAAGGAAAUAUGAAAAUGGAGAGUUAAUUGAAUCCCUAUGAGACUAUAUCCCAUUUUGUUGGAAAAUCAAAGCAUCAGCGUGGAUGAGUUGGUGUUCUGGAUUUUGUGUGCUCAAAGUAAUAGCUACCUAAUGCUUUAAGGACUUAAUAUCAAGUAAGCGUUUUAAAGAUAAAUGGUAAAACUGAACUGGAAAUCCAUCUGGCCGGCUGCCUGCUCUAAUGAAUAACCCCACUUUGGCUCGUGCAAUGACGUCUUCCCUUUGGAAAGCAGUACAGUGACAGUGUCAAGGGUGCCUGUGUGUUUGCGGCAUGUUCCUUCCAGAAGCAGCUGUAAGUGCCACCUCCAGGCCAUCUGGCCAAUGUGAGAAAAGGUGGCUGCAAUGGCUUGGCAAAAAACAACUUUCUGGUCCUCUGGUGUCCCCUGAUAACUGAUUUAAACGUAUGUCCAAGGACUUCCUUAUUGCUAUCCGUGGUUGUCAAAAAUUUAUAAGCAUAUUCAUUUCUCUGUUCAACUUAAUUGGUAUUUUGGAUUUGACACUAGGAAAGCAAGUUUGACUUGCAUGUUAAGAGUCCAAGGAUAUCACCCACAAAAUUCUAGACAAUAAGAAAGGGUAAGUGUCUGAGGGGAGAGGGCACUUACAAGUUAUUCCAUUGAAUCCUAAUUUGAGGCUUCCAAAUUCAUUUUGGGGCAAUCAAAGAGAAAGAACUCUAAGCAUGGCUUUUUAAAACACUAUAAAAAGGAUUCCUGGUAUAAUAGAGCUCUCUAAUUUGAUUGAAGAGCACAUAGACUUCUAGAACAAUUUGUAUUUUUGAUGCUUAAAAAAAAAUCUUUUUUUUUCUGUGAUGUGGUCUUUUAAACUCAUAGCAUACCUUAUAGCUCCCUCUACUUCCUAUAUUUUAAUUGAUCUUGAGGUUAUUUUCCUGUCACUGGGCUUAAUGAACAAGUAUUUUAGAAUUUCUUCCUGUAUAUAUCUUCAUUCCUAUCUCAAUAAAAUGUCUAAUCAAGAAUUCACUUGUAGAAAAUAAAAUAUAGAAGCACAUAGCCUUAAAGUGAAGUUACUUGUUUCUGUUAUUUUAUAAAAUCCAUGGACCUCAAGUUUGAGUAUCAUUAUUAUAAAAAACAUAGCCACUCAAGCCAUGCGUGACACACUCGCUCAUUAACUGUGCAGCUUUUCCUACAGAAUAUGGGAAUAUGGGGCAAAGGCCAUGUGAUAAGAUGCAGGCUUCUUGUCAAUGGACCCAAAUUAAAAUACUAGCUUUUCCUAUUUUUAAGUUGGGUUACUUUGUCCAUUACAUGGGGUUACUCUUGCCCAACUAGCAUGGUUGACAUCAUCUCACCAAAAAUCAAUAAAUGUAUGGGUGCUCAAGAAA